UUGUAUUUUUUUUUGGGUGUCCCUAUCCUGGGAAAAUCAAUAAAUGCAGGAAGGGGAUAUGGACUUGGAAUGGCUAUCAAUAUUUGUUGAAGACUGCUUAUCCAGCUCUGGAAAUUGCCUACCAAUUUUACCCCCUCAAAUUGCUCAGAACAAGACUACCAUUAUUAGCACUGCCAGACUGCCAGUGAAGCAGACCCCUCAAAGCCAUUGAAAUUGGUGGAAUCCCAAAUAAGCCCAUCAUCAUCAAGUAUCCUGCA
Molecule: long non-coding RNA, 257 nt
Filed under: Panax ginseng (ginseng)
Lineage: Eukaryota; Viridiplantae; Streptophyta; Magnoliopsida; Apiales; Araliaceae
Description: long non-coding RNA (PGIN_LNC010858)
Source: RNAcentral